Arthrobotrys megalospora is the source of this 106-nucleotide non-coding RNA. NCBI's taxonomy places the organism in Eukaryota, Fungi, Ascomycota, Orbiliomycetes, Orbiliales, Orbiliaceae. The record is from the annotation of a GenBank genome assembly.
GCUCCUAUAGCUCAGUUGGUAGAGCGCGACACUAGUAUCUCCUCUUAGGAUUUCAACCGGAUUCCGGGAAAUGUCGAGGUCUACGGUUCAAAUCCGUAUGGGAGCA